RNAcentral lists this unclassified non-coding RNA (2400 nucleotides) under Hevea brasiliensis (rubber tree). The record is from RNAcentral. Lineage: Eukaryota; Viridiplantae; Streptophyta; Magnoliopsida; Malpighiales; Euphorbiaceae.
CAUUAAACCCUUUGUCCCAACACCCUCUACGCCCAAUUCAACCAUGGCGCUGAAGCAUCUCCUAGCUCUAGCCCGCCGAUCCCACAGACCUUCACCAUCGGCUCUUUCCGCCAUCCGAGCCUCGUCAACCGCCGUCGCCUCUUCCUCGCCAUCUACUCCUUCCGCCCCUCCUCCUCCAAAUGCCAUGAUCUACGACCGUCUCGCUGAAUCAGUCAAAUCCAAGCUCAAACAGCUCGAGAAUCCUGACCCGAGGUUCCUCAAAUACGGGUCCCCUCACCCGACUCUUGCAACCCAUACCCAUAUCCUCUCUGCUCCCGAAACCCGCAUCACCACGCUCCCCAACGGUCUCCGCGUCGCGACGGAGUCCACUCUCGCUUCAAAAACAGCUACUGUUGGGGUCUGGAUCGACGCUGGGUCUCGCUUCGAGACUGAGGAUACUAACGGAACGGCACAUUUUCUAGAGCACAUGAUUUUCAAGGGCACCGAGAGGAGGUCUGCGAGAGACCUUGAGGAGGAGAUCGAGAACAUGGGUGGCCAUUUGAAUGCCUACACUAGUAGGGAACAAACUACUUAUUAUGCCAAAGUUAUGGACAAGGAUGUGAACAAGGCAUUGGAUAUUUUAGCUGAUAUAUUGCAGAACUCGAAAUUCGACGAGAACCGGAUUAGUCGCGAGAGGGAUGUGAUUUUGAGGGAAAUGGAAGAGGUUGAGGGGCAAACAGAGGAAGUCAUCUUCGACCAUUUGCAUGCAACUGCAUUCCAGUAUACUCCUUUAGGUAGAACCAUUCUUGGACCAGCUAAAAAUGUCAGGUCAAUUACCAGAGAUCAUCUUCAGAGCUACAUACAAACACACUACACUGCUCCCCGAAUGGUCAUUGUAGCUUCUGGAGCGGUUAAGCAUGAGGAAGUUGUUGAGCAAGUAAAGAAGUUGUUUAAUAAGUUAUCAGCUGAUCCAACCACUGCUUCUCAGCUAGUUGCCAAACAACCAGCUUUUUUUACUGGAUCAGAGGUUAGGAUAAUUGAUGAUGAUAUUCCUUUGGCACAAUUUGCUGUUGCUUUUGAAGGAGCAUCCUGGACAGAUCCAGAUUCUAUUGCUCUAAUGGUCAUGCAGGCUAUGCUUGGUUCAUGGAAUAAAAAUGCUGGAGGUGGAAAGCACAUGGGUUCUGAGCUUGCACAAAGGGUUGGCAUUAAUGAAAUAGCAGAAAGCAUGAUGGCUUUUAACACCAACUACAAAGACACUGGCCUGUUUGGUGUUUAUGCUGUUGCUAAGGCAGAUUGCUUGGAUGAUUUAGCCUGGGCAAUUAUGUAUGAGACAACCAAGUUAAGUUAUCGAGUUUCUGAAGCUGAUGUCACACGUGCUCGUAAUCAGGUAGCCAUCGAUUCAUAUUUUUAUAUAUCUUUGGUUUUCUAAGAAAGGCUGUAACUUGUCAAUCCAAUAAAUUUAUAUUAAUUUAAAAUUUUAAUUAUUUUAUUCUAUAAUUUGCAUAAAUUAUUUUAAAAUUUCACUAUUGAAUCCUAGCAAGAUUUUGACUAUUGGAUUAGGUAAUAUUCUUCUUAAGAUCAAAUGAUGCAUUGAUGAUUUUUUAUGCUUAUUUACUUUAAUUGAAAUUACAUGCUUAAUGCAAAUUUAUAAUCUUUUAAAAGAAGUAAAUUCAAGUAUAGGAAUACUGACAAAGCCAAAGAAAAGGGCCAAGAUGAAGGAUUUUUUUUUUCCCCGCUGUCUCGUUUCAUUUGGAGGAACAAUGCUAGGAAGAUAGGUUUUAGUAUAUAUAAUGAUAUAUUUAUAUAUUGAUACUUAAGUGUGUUAUGUGGACCAUGAAAUUUCUUGUUCCCUAAUCUCCUAUAAUUUAGCUAUUAUCAACUUACUGAUAUAUCUGAUUGCAGUUGAAAUCAUCAUUGCUACUUCACAUUGAUGGAACCAGUCCUGUAGCUGAAGAUAUUGGACGCCAGCUACUUACAUAUGGUCGGAGAAUUCCGUUUGCUGAAUUGUUCGCUAGAAUUGAUGCUGUUGAUGCAAGUAGUAUUAAACGCGUAGCAAACAGAUUUAUUCAUGACAAGGAUAUUGCAAUUGCUGCCACGGGUCCUAUCCAGGGGUUGCCUGACUACAACUGGUUCAGACGCAGGACCUACUUGAACCGCUACUAGACUCUCAGGCUUUUGUUUUAUUACAGCUUUGCUACAUUAUUGGGCGAUUACAAACAUGUUGCUGCGUUUACGGCGCAGCCGACAUCUUCUUGUGGGGUUUUUGGGGGGAGGGGGAGCCCCCAAAGGCUGGAAUUUUCAAAUCAUUUUUUUUUUUUUUUUUUUGUGGAAGACGUCUCUUCUUCUUCUUCUAAAAAUCUAAGGAACAGAACAGAAGUGAGAUUGGGCUGAUCUUGAAAGAAUUAAUGGUUAUGUUUCUAG